This 451-nucleotide long non-coding RNA is filed under the name Homo sapiens (human). RNAcentral describes it as "HSALNT0366509". Lineage: Eukaryota; Metazoa; Chordata; Mammalia; Primates; Hominidae. The record is from RNAcentral.
CUUUCUGUCUGCUGGAGAUAGGAGCGGAGGGGCUCCACCCCGUUCCACUGUCUAGGCACGAGGAAGUUGAGGGGGAGGUCUUCCCCUCUCCAGAAGGCUGAAAGCCGAUUCCUCUUCUUUCCCUGGAGUGGCUUCUGAACGGGGAGAGGUUGCUCGCGUCCCCGCUCCCGCCUCCGCUCCCGGGGUGCCCCAGAGGGUGGGGCUUUCGUACUCCCGGCUGUCCCUGAGCUGGCCUGGGCAGCACGGUCCGGGAGGCCGCGGCUCGAGACUCCGGUCCCUGCUACUGUGGCGGCAGCACCUCCUCUAGGGCCGUCCUGUCGGGUCCGCUCCCUUCGGCGCGUGGGGCUCCCCGCGCUGCCACCGCUCGGGCUCCGACCAGUCUGGGCUCCCGGGGAGCCAGAAGGCGGGCAGACAGUGUCAGGGCUCGGCGCGGGCUCGGGCUCGGCUCGGC